Molecule: ribosomal RNA, 253 nt
Filed under: uncultured bacterium
Lineage: Bacteria
Description: partial 16S ribosomal RNA
Rfam family: Bacterial small subunit ribosomal RNA
Source: RNAcentral
GACGAGCCUCACAAGCGUUAUUCGGAAUUACUGGGCUUAAAGGGUGCGUAGGCGGCGCGGCAAGUUGGGUGUGAAAUCCCUCGGCUCAACCGAGGAACUGCGCCCAAAACUACCGUGCUCGAGGAAGAUAGAGGUGAGCGGAACUUACGGUGGAGCGGUGAAAUGCGUUGAUAUCGUAAGGAACACCCGUGGCGAAAGCGGCUCACUGGGUCUUCUCUGACGCUGAUGCACGAAAGCUAGGGGAGCAAACGGG